AAGAAACAACAACUCUUCUGCGAUCAUUAAGAGAGAUGAACACCGGGCAAUCCUUUGCCCCCAAGAUUGGGGAGACAGGCGGAUACAGGGAGUAAUGGCUAACUGGAGCAGAGACUCACAGGGGCAAACCUCAGUGGGAACCAGAACUGAGGUUGUCAACUGUCACUUCUUGCUGAUGUCAUUGCAACUGUAUUUAGUAACAAUCCACCCACUUGCAUUUUCAUUUGGUGUGCAGUGAAACAAACCAAACAAAGGAUAAUGCCCCCUGGUACAUGGUUGUAUAUUCCAGUUGUGAGUGCCUCUGGUUGUGCUAUAUGGGAUGCCACCUCAACAUGACCUGAUGAACCGUGCCAUGUCCGUGCCCAGGAUCUGAACUAGCGAAACCCUGGGCCACUGAAGAGGAG
This 404-nucleotide long non-coding RNA is filed under the name Equus asinus (donkey). RNAcentral describes it as "lncRNA (ENSEASG00005037985.1)". The record is from RNAcentral. Lineage: Eukaryota; Metazoa; Chordata; Mammalia; Perissodactyla; Equidae.